UACGGGGGGAGCAAGCGUUGUUCGGAUUUACUGGGCGUAAAGGGCGCGUAGGCGGUCGUGACAAGUCACUUGUGAAAUCUCCGGGCUUAACUCGGAACGGUCAAGUGAUACUGUCGGACUAGAGUACAGAAGGGGCAACUGGAAUUCUCGGUGUAGCGGUGAAAUGCGUAGAUAUCGAGAGGAACACCUGCGGCGAAGGCGGGUUGCUGGGCUGAUACUGACGCUGAGGCGCGAAGGCCAGGGGAGCAAACGGG
RNAcentral lists this ribosomal RNA (254 nucleotides) under uncultured bacterium. RNAcentral's name for it is "partial 16S ribosomal RNA". It matches the Rfam family "Bacterial small subunit ribosomal RNA", at positions 524 to 776 of the family's 1533-position model. The record is from RNAcentral.